RNAcentral lists this ribosomal RNA (403 nucleotides) under uncultured Bacillota bacterium. RNAcentral describes it as "bacterial SSU rRNA". It matches the Rfam family "Bacterial small subunit ribosomal RNA", at positions 379 to 774 of the family's 1533-position model. Lineage: Bacteria; Bacillati; Bacillota. The record is from RNAcentral.
AAGUCUGAUGGAGCAACGCCGCGUGAGUGAUGAAGGUUUUCGGAUCGUAAAACUCUGUUGUAAGGGAAGAACCAGUACGUCAGGCAAUGGACGUACCUUGACGGUACCUUAUUAGAAAGCCACGGCUAACUACGUGCCAGCAGCCGCGGUAAUACGUAGGUGGCAAGCGUUGUCCGGAUUUACUGGGCGUAAAGGAUGCGUAGGCGGAUGUUUAAGUGAGAUGUGAAAUACCCGAGCUCAACUUGGGUGCUGCAUUUCAAACUGGAUAUCUAGAGUGCAGGAGAGGAAAGCGGAAUUCCUAGUGUAGCGGUGAAAUGCGUAGAGAUUAGGAAGAACACCAGUGGCGAAGGCGGCUUUCUGGACUGUAACUGACGCUGAGGCAUGAAAGCGUGGGGAGCAAACA